RNAcentral lists this long non-coding RNA (209 nucleotides) under Volvox carteri. RNAcentral's name for it is "long non-coding RNA (VCAR_LNC001629)". The record is from RNAcentral. Lineage: Eukaryota; Viridiplantae; Chlorophyta; Chlorophyceae; Chlamydomonadales; Volvocaceae.
CCGUGCCGCACCCACCAUCACCUCAGCCUGCAGGCACGAGGUCAAGCUCAUUGUAUGUGCGUGUGUGUAUGCGUGUGUGUGUGCUAACCCCACACAGGUUUCCAACUCGCGGCUCAAAUUACUGGAAAAAACACAUACACAUACAUACGCACACACACCACCUUGUAACGCAGAGCACAGCACACAACACGCGCAGGCUCAGAGGCCCC